Molecule: long non-coding RNA, 536 nt
Filed under: Ananas comosus (pineapple)
Lineage: Eukaryota; Viridiplantae; Streptophyta; Magnoliopsida; Poales; Bromeliaceae
Description: long non-coding RNA (ACOM_LNC005479)
Source: RNAcentral
UAAGAUCUUAGAAAGUACAUAUUGUAACAUACCAGAUUUUGAUAUAAAAAUAAAAAUAAAUAAAAAUAGUAUGAAUAUUUUUAUUGGAUUUAUAAAAGUAAAACAUAAGUCGUAAGUGACUUGUGCUGAAAUCGGAAUGAAAACAGAAAAUCUAGAAUUUUCUGUUGGAAAUGGGACAGAUAAAUUAGCAGAAAAUACACAGUCUCAGAAAAUUAUGAAAAUUGGAGGAUAAGUCAGAAAUAUUUUUGUGAGGCUAGAUUUAAAGUUUCAUAUUUUUCUGACACCCGUAGAGUGAGAAAUAAAAUCCGACAGCUAUCUGAUAAAGAUUACAGUUCGGUACAGUUUUCGGUGACCAAAUGGGGUCGAAACUAAAAAGUUAAAAUAUAUUCUUACUCAGUACGUUAAACUGAGCCUGCCUGUCAAAUUUGAGCUCAAACGGACAUUCAGAAGGGCUCCAACUAUUCCGAACUGCUAAACUGCCCUGGAGUGAAUAGUGUUUUGGGUGUUAAUGUAUAUAAGAAGCAAUGUGCUUCUUC